GAUGAACGCUAGCGGCAGGCUUAAUACAUGCAAGUCGAGGGGGCAGCAAUGUCACCGGCGAACGGGUGCGUAACACGUAUGCAACCUACCUAUAUCAGGGGGAUAGCCCGCGGAAACUCGGAUUAAUACCGCAUAACAUUAGGAUCGGCAUCGAUUUUAAUUGAAAGAUUUAUUGGAGAUAGAUGGGCAUGCGUAGGAUUAGCUAGUUGGUAAGGUAACGGCUUACCAAGGCUACGAUCCUUAGGGGCUCUGAGAGGAGUAUCCCCCACACUGGCACUACGAUACGGGCCAGACUCCUACGGGAGGCAGCAGUAGGGAAUAUUGGGCAAUGCGCGGAAACAUGACCGAGCCCUGCCGCGUGCAGGACGACGGCCCUCUGGAUUGUAAACUGCUUUUGAAUGGGAAGAAAGGUAUGCUUGCGCGAGUAGUUGACGGUACCAUUAGAAUAAGCCACGGCUAACUACGUGCCAGCAGCCGCGGUAA
Molecule: ribosomal RNA, 483 nt
Filed under: uncultured bacterium
Lineage: Bacteria
Description: partial 16S ribosomal RNA
Rfam family: Bacterial small subunit ribosomal RNA
Source: RNAcentral